GUUAUUUCAUUUUUCAGUAGGAAGUGGCGCCAUACUAUACUACCAUCUCGAUGUGUUGUUUCUUGUUUUUUCCGAUUGCUUGCUGCGCUGAAAUCAUUCUUCUAAAACUUAAAGAAAAUUUUCCGAGUCUUUUUAUUAAGAAGUUGAUGGAAAAUGGGGACUUGGUUUUAAAGAAUGAACCAAAUUUUUUAGGACACGGAUCCUAAAAGUCUACCACCGCCCGUUUUUAAAUCAACCGUAUUCGACUAAUUGUCAAAUACUUUACUCGAGUUGAGGCAGUUUGCACCGACCAACGUGGCCAGCAUCAUUUACUCGUGGAGCGCUCACUAAACAUUUCAAAAGCCUUACCCGACUCUGGGUAUGGAAUUAGCUUUGUACGAAUGAGUUGCAAAUGAUCGCGGCUCACCUCAAGCAAUUGCCACCCCCCCUCCCCCCAAACAAUUCGGAUGAUGAUAAGAAAAACAAACAAUUCCUUAUGGAGCUCUUGUUGAGUGAAAAAUAGUUUGAAAAUACGAGCAUAUCCCGUCAUGAAAGGCACGCUUCCAAACUUAUAGGCACUGGCUGAAAAUGCCGUUGUACCAUAGUGAGGACAUCCACUGGAAUGAAAACAUCGUGCUGGCAAUACUUUUCCGUUGAGGGCUGUCUCGACUUACUCAAACUCAACUUUUGCCUGCAACGUAACUUCCACCAGUUUCGACUGGAGACCGAGGAUUCCGUUUUCCGCUUGAAGCCGUGGAAGGGCUAAGACGGAAAGGUGUUGUCGCCAUGUCGGAUGGGCCCAGGAAGUCUCAGACCAUUAAUUCCUUCUGCGUGUACGAAGUAGGAAAACUGAAUAUAAGAGGAAAACGUCCUCGACGUCCGUAACGAUGUCAAGUCUGAAUGGGAGAACGUGUGCGUUGCAUGCUUUCUUCUCACGUUCCAGCCACCUGUCCCACCCGGAACACACUUUAACUUCAGUGAUCCAUUGGUUUCUCAUUUUUAUCUACAUCCAAGGCUGUGAGAUCACCUUUGAAGAUUAUUAAACAAGGACCAGAUCUCAGACCUAAAAAUUCUAGGAGGACAGAACCUUCCGUGUUUGGUUGUACUGCAAUCAAUACAAGAUGGAUAUAGAUCGUGUCUCGCAUAAUAGAGAAGGAGUAAACGAUUCAUUCAACAUUAUGAUUCGACGUAAAUUAAAGGAGAACAACUUCAAAGCAGUGCUGAAAACAUCCUAGACUUAAACACGGAUUCUUGACUACGAUGACACAGGAGCGGCCCACUACUCCAAAAUGACCAAUCAAAUUCCAGUAUUGGAUUUCAACGACACAUUCUUACUUUACUUAGUUUUCAGAACCCGCAUAACGGAGAAAUUAAUUUAAAUAUUCCACGGACAUAAAAUUGUCCAAUACAAUUUUCCGGUAAAAAACUUCCCCUACAAAUCCUAAGAAUUUGCAACUAUGUUGGGAUGGAUUGGUGCAAAUAUGCAAACAUUCGUACAAUUAUUUUGUCUUAAUUUCAUAUCUUCUCCUAUCUAGCUCAUUCCAUAUUGGCUAUAACAUUUUUCUAUCUUGAAUAUUAGCUACAACUGUGAUGUUUCAAGGUAAACGUACUCUGCCUAUCUUGCCUUCUGAAAACUACCUACUUAAAUAAGAAUACAACUGUUGGAAAAUUUAAAA
Daphnia pulex (common water flea) is the source of this 1655-nucleotide long non-coding RNA. RefSeq lists it as uncharacterized. The record is from RefSeq and is a predicted model, not a curated record. The transcript has 6 exons. Lineage: Eukaryota; Metazoa; Arthropoda; Branchiopoda; Diplostraca; Daphniidae.